Molecule: ribosomal RNA, 496 nt
Filed under: uncultured bacterium
Lineage: Bacteria
Description: partial 16S ribosomal RNA
Rfam family: Bacterial small subunit ribosomal RNA
Source: RNAcentral
AUUGAACGCUGGCGGAAUGCUUUGCACAUGCAAGUCGAACGGUAGAGGGGGCAACCCCUCGAGAGUGGCGAACGGGUGAGUAAUAUAUCGGAACGUGCCCAGUCGUGGGGGAUAACGUAGCGAAAGUUACGCUAAUACCGCAUAUGAUCUAAGGAUGAAAGCGGGGGAUCGCAAGACCUCGCGCGAUUGGAGCGGCCGAUAUCAGAUUAGGUAGUUGGUGGGGUAAAGGCUCACCAAGCCAACGAUCUGUAGCUGGUCUGAGAGGACGACCAGCCACACUGGAACUGAGACACGGUCCAGACUCCUACGGGAGGCAGCAGUGGGGAAUUUUGGACAAUGGACGCAAGUCUGAUCCAGCCAUUCCGCGUGCAGGAUGAAGGCCCUCGGGUUGUAAACUGCUUUUGUACGGAACGAAAAGGUCUCUCUUAAUACGGGGGGCUCAUGACGGUACCGUAAGAAUAAGCACCGGCUAACUACGUGCCAGCCGCCGCAGUAA